GUCUGUGGCCAUACCAGCCUGAAUGUGCCUGAUCUCAUCCAAUCUCCGGAAGCUAAGCAGGGUUGGGCCUGGUUAGUACUUGGAUGGGAAAAAAAAAAAACAAUAAAAACAAGCAAAUGAUGUAAACA
Molecule: ribosomal RNA, 128 nt
Filed under: Canis lupus familiaris (dog)
Lineage: Eukaryota; Metazoa; Chordata; Mammalia; Carnivora; Canidae
Also listed under: 1 other name
Source: RNAcentral